RNAcentral lists this long non-coding RNA (9161 nucleotides) under Coffea arabica (coffee). Its description in RNAcentral is "long non-coding RNA (CARA_LNC003588)". Lineage: Eukaryota; Viridiplantae; Streptophyta; Magnoliopsida; Gentianales; Rubiaceae. The record is from RNAcentral.
AGCAAAAAAUUAGAAGCAUUCAAAAUCAUUCAAAAUAACCAAUGAAUUCCUAGUCUGCACACACUAUUUAUUCAGUCAAAAGCAUUCAAAAUCAUUCAAGAAGAAUAAGUGUAAUCAUUCAAAACAGCACUCACACAAGUAACUUAUGAAGAUGCCUUUAUACACAACACACCGAAGCAAAAGUAACAUCUCGCAGAAAGAACCAAACACAGAAGAACAUCAUUUACAGGAUAUAAAACAGCAUUUGUCAAAGUCUGAAACAAAAAGAAGUCUCUAAUACAAUUCAUCUUGCUUUAGCAUUCCAAUUGAUCACUUUCAGAAAAAUGAGCUAAAGUAAUAAAUUUCCACGAACAAUAGAAUAAGUUAGUAUAACAAAGAAAUCAUAAUCUCAAAUUCAGAGGCAAAAAACAAAAAAAAAAAAAAAGAACCCUUGUUUUGACAAAUAUAACAAGUAUGAUAAAAAACUGACAAAUGUUGUCAUGGAGCGGAAGACAUUUCAAAUUCAAUUAAGGAAAAAUAACUGGUACAGCCUUUUUUUAUUGUUUCCAUCCCACACAUCAACAUAACCAUCACAACCUCAAGUAGCAAAUGUACCAUAGCUACAAAUCAAAAUCAGUUUUGAGACAGAUUUUGGCAAAAAGCUCAAGGUAUUCAAUCAAUAGAUAAUUGUAAUAGAUCCAACUCAAUCACUCAAUAUAUCUAGAGUUGAUAAAUCAAGCACAUAGGCUUAUAAAUCAUUCAUGGAUACAUUGACAUUAUAAAUCAUUCUCUUUUGUUUGUUCCAUUCCAACUCAAUCAUUGACAUAGCUACCUUAAGAAUACAUGGAUCGGCUCCACUUAUCAAGUUCAAAAAAACAGAUGUUUCCUAAAGACGCAUAGUUAUGAUGAGAAGCUUGAAGGUCGUGAUUGCCUGGGGAAUAUCUAGAGUUGAAAAUUGGAAAUCAGGAAAGAUAAAUUCAGGUUCGAUCGCUUAUUCGUAAGCUGUUAAAGUUUUGAACUGUCCCCAUAAUUGAUUGUUUUUGCCUUGUUUCUGCAAUUAUCUCUCAUAUUUGUUUACAGUAAGCACCAUCACAUCAAGUAAAGAACACUUCUCUUGCACCCUAUAUCAAUCUAACAUGAUUCCAUCUGGUACUGAGACUACCAAAACCCAAGCUCGUAGCCCAAAGAACCUACAACACUUUGUUCACCAUAGCUGAAGACAUACUUGGAACAACUAAGGUACCAUAUACUUUCUUUUUUUUUUCAGUGCAUAGGCAGACACAAACAUAUAUAGUUAUAAUAAAUCACACACACCUCAAACAAAAAAGAAAUGAAUUCUUUCAUAUCUUGAUAAACACUUCAAAUGUAUACUAAUCCUAUGAACAACCAAGUAAAAUGACAUUGAUAUGGUAUGAAGAGACAUACACAUCAGCUUGCAUGUACACUUCAGAACCAAGAUUGAUCAAUGUCCUCAGACUGGUUACACUAUUUUCUCCAAUGUCUCUAUAUUUCUUUUCCAAUCAGAGCUACAAGAAGUUAAGAGAAAAAAAAAGUAAAGAAGCAUUGCAGGUCAAAGGGAACUUGUGCAAAGAAAUAGGAGUCAGAGCAAUAAAGGUGAGUAGUAUCAAUACCCAAAUGCAAGAAAACUUAGAAGGAUACAAAACUUUCUGUUGUUCAAAUACCUCGUUCCUGCAAAAGAGAUACCCAGAAUAUUAGAAAUUUGGCAUAUAACAGAAAUUCCGUCUCCAAAUUCGCAACUUAAUAGUGAAAUAUUAAACAUAAAGUAGGUAAGUACUCCAACUCAUAUAAUCCCACUACUGAUGGUAAUAAGCUCAAUAAAGUGGUAACAGGGGAUGGUUCUCCAAAUAACAACUGUAAGCGGGUGAGUUCAGUAUGAGGCAACCAACGGAUUCCCACCCACACCUCCCCGUCUCAAGAAAAUAGAAAAGGGCAAAAAAGGGCGAAAAAAAAUAGAAGGAAAAGAAAAAAGAAAGAAAAGGAAAUGAAUAUUGGCAAUAUGGGAGUCAAAUGAAGCAAAGUCUAAUCUAUUUAUACACAAAAAAGGAUCACUCUCUUCCAGUUUCAGAUCGUUAGUUUUCACUACUACAGGAAGUUCAGCUACCGCCCGCUAGAAGCAAAAAAAAAAAAAUUUUAAAGACAUCGAGUGAGAGAAUUGGGCUCCAAAACACCCUUCCGUACAAUGAUACAAAGAUGGAAAAAGGACAAAAGAAAAUGAAGAAAGUUACGGGUAAUAACCAGAAAUUAGCUAAUUCAAAGUCCUCCCAAACUGUUCAAUAUAUUUCUUAUCUGCAUUGGCUAGGCGAUCUUGAAACUGCACCCACUCACUUCUGCACCUCUCUCUUACCUACCAAAUUAGAUAGAAAAGAAUUCAAGCUAGUUACUUGACGUUUGGACAAAUCUAAUGAAAUUCAGUUCAAUGCAAAAUCAUGCAAUUCAAACAGAGUGCAGAUAUAAGACCUAUGAAUCCUAAUUUAAACAUGAUUGUUAGAAUGUAGGUGAUAUAGAAUAACUCAGAUUACCAUAAAAUUGGAUGAAGAAGCUUUCAGAGUUGACUUUUGCAAAAAAAACGAAGGACAAAGAAAAGGCCUCAAUAAAAAAAUAUACAGAAAGGUUGAAAUGGAAACCGAACAAGUAACAGCUUACAUACCCCUUGCCAAGGAGCUUUUCCAUUUUCAGAUUGACCCUGGAAUCAACGAAGCUGAAGCUGUUAGCAUCAUUAUCAACAAAACAAAUCUAAAUGAGGGGAAACCAGAUCAAGGGACAAGUAGGAUAAUUGACGUGGAAGAAAAAAAUGUAAAUAAGGGGGUUGCUGCUAAAAAGUUGCUUAUUUUAUAAAUGAAGAACCAUUUGCUCAAAAAUGGAAAUUAAAGUUGAACAGAACAACAUUUGCAAACAACUAAACUUCAUUAUUUUAAUCACCUCUAGGAAAAGGAAAAGCAAGUCCCGAUGGUUGUAAUAAAGUAGUUAACUGACCUGACUUCCCAGAGAAGGAAUAACUUGAUGAACUAUCCACUGAGAGUCAACCACAUCAAUUUUCUCAUGUGCAGGCUACACAGGCAAAAUACACUUACAAUGAAACUGAUAAUACGCAGACAUCCAUUUGAAAUACAUACAUGUUUUCCAAUUUUAUCUGUUUUACAUGCCACUGUCCCGCAGAUCUCUCCUUCCAACAGGAAUAUGAAAAGCAGGUAGACAAGCCUUCUUUUCUAAAUCUUUCAAAUAAUACAGUGAUAAGAAACAAAUAAAACCACUGACCUCCACACAUCUCCUUAGUGCAAAAUCCAAUCCCCAACCAUGCACCAAAUCAUUCUAGAAAUGUUAUUGAAAGUAAAAAAUCAGCGUGAGCUCUAAGCUGGAAAGAACCAAGGCUAAUGAGAGCAGCUAAAAGCAAAAAUAGUUGGAGGUACAACAAGGCUUAAAACAUACGUAUACAAAUGACAAAGUUAGAGAAGGGAACCUGAAUCAUAUGCCAAACACAUCGCCAAGCAUCCCGCGAGAAAACAGGAGCCACAAUUUCCACAAAGCUGAAUUCAAAAAGGAAAAACACAAGGAAAAUUAGUUGAAGGUAAAUGUUGAAGCCACCCCAAUCCUUUAUACUUUUCUUAACUAUAUAUCUCCAUUUUAAGGGCCUGAGCAUAAAUCAUGGGUCAUAACUCAACCUACAAACACUACCAUAAAAUCAAAUUUUUCAACAAUAAGACGUGAUAUUGCUAUGAGAUGUCUUGUAGCUAAGCUCUUCUUUUUGGCAAUGGUCAACCUGAUGAAGAAAUAUGACCAUCAGAGAAAGUGAGCUUCUUGUUUCUGGCAAUUUCAACUUUCAAGCCAUGUAAAUAAACAAUAGUUUCCCAAGACAACAUUUUUGUUGUUUUUCAGUUUAAUAUUAUUAUUUUCUUGGGUUAAAGAGAUUGACCUUCGGAAAACCAAACAAUCAAUCUCUGGAAAAUUUAAAUCUUUGGAAAACCAAACAAUCACUCGGAAGAGAAAAAAACAAAUCCUUUUCAGGUUUGGAUUAUAAGAAAAUAAAAACAAGAAAAACAAACUGCAUGGCUCCCAAAUUGCCAUUCAGUCAAUCAAAAGAACAAUGUAUCAGUUCAAAACUACAAAAUUCAAUCUAUUAUGAUAAGUGAACCCUGCUCAAUUACAAUACAAUCUCAUCUCAUACUACCUGGGGUCAGUAACUUGCUAUCAUCUUCUUUCCCGCAGGUGUCUCUAAUAUCAGAAAAUAAUGUUUCUUCCAUUUAUCUCCUUUUUGAAUGCGAAGAAUUAGCAUAAAAGUCCUUAAAAAGUUAUUCAUAAAGAGGUUAACAUAUUUAGUUAACUCUACACUCAUGACUGUAAGCGUUGGUAGAUUUAUUAGUUUCAGAUACUAAAUGAUCCUCAGAUAUCCAUUAAAUAUAGAAGAGAUAAAAAUUCAGACAAAGCCAGCAAUUCUAAAGCCCAAACUGCUAGCCGAAAAAUCGUGGAAUUUUACACAAAUUAUACCAAAACCUCCAAUUCUCUUAGCUAAAUAUAAUAAAUUACCAAAAUUUACGAAACCCACAAUGGGUAUUAGGGCAAAAUAAUUCCCAAGGUCGGUUUUUUUCUUGAAGUGGUUCGAUUAUUAAAGAGGGGAAACAACGAAAGAGAACAAGAUUUCCUAAUGUUGUGCACCAAUUAAGGACGAUAUACUACUACUCCGUUGAAAUGUAGAUAGAAAUUCAGAUUAAUUGAAACAAAAGAAAAAAGAGCGCGAAAGAGAGAGAUUGAGAUAUUGAGAGAAGGAAGAAAGUUGAAGAAAAUAUACCUCCGGUUGCAAGGUUAUUCUCGGUCUGAAGAACCGCGAUACUCUGCAUCUUGGACGCCAUCGUACCUUCUCUUCUAUCUAUCUCCCUGAGAUUAGCUUUCCUUUUUCAGUUCAGAAACUUCUACUGCGGAUUCCGUCUGUAAGUAGUAGAGAGCUACAUUAGAAGAUGUGGCUGGAAUUUGAUGAUGGGGAGGAGAGGGAAAGACAAGUAAAGAGGGGCAGCCAAACAAACGGCUUCCAGAGUCCAAAUCCCAGCUACCAAAGAAAUCACAAACCAGUCUCCUAAAAGCAAUGAAAAAAAUGCUUGCACAACAAAACACAAGAACCAUUAGCAUCAAACAAGUUUUUACAGAGGAGGAGAAAAACAUGAAUACAGAGCAACCUGAAGAGAAGACCCGACCUCACUGGAGAGAAAGAAGAAAGCACAAGAUCUGCAACCAACAGUGAAGAUGGCACGUCCUUGGGCGGUAACAAGCCCGUGGAUGAGAAAAAAAAGAGAAAACUGCACGUCAGUGGACAAGGGACAAAAGAAAUACGAACUUUAGCCAAAAAAAAAAAAACAAAAAAAACAAAAAGAGGGGCAGACCAGAGGUAACCCGAAGAGAAGAUCUGACCUCACCGGAGAUGAAGAAGAAAGCCUAUUACAACAAAACAAAGGAGGAGGUCAACAAAAUUUUGUACCAGGUUCCAGAGGAUGCGGAUAAGUGAUAGAGCAACAUUAUCCCAAAAAAAACCAAAAAAAGAAAGAAAGAGAAUGUAAUGGGAGAGAGAAUGCAGCGGGAAGAGAGCAAAUGCAGCAGAAGAUCAGAAAGACGGAAGCACGGGCACAUGGGACACUGGCAGGCGAGGCCAGAUGGGAAAACUAACGCGCGAUGCGCGAACAACAUGAUGAUUCCAAUCCACAUGCCGGGCACGUGAGAGGACGACGAAAAUUCUGGCUGAAUGGAGUUGCCAUGUUAUCUACUUAUGUUGACUAGGAGGCAAUAACGCGCUUCGCGCGAUAGUAAUGUAAAAUGCCCAUUCCAUUUCUGAAGUAAGAAAAAUAACAUUUCAUUUAGAAAUGUACAUUUUUUAGUAUAUAUAUACCAUGAGUCUGAAGGUUUGUUGAUAUUUCUUGGCUACAAACUUUCAUGGAAGUUGCUAAAUUUCUAAAUUUAAUGGAAGUGCUUUGGAACCUCCAAAGCCUGAAUUUCUAAAUUUUGCUAAACUUCCAAAGUCUGAAAUGCAAAUUUAAAUUUCUAAAUUUUUAAUAGGAACUUCCAAACUCUGAAGUUUUGUUAAUGCAAAUUUAAUGGAGCAUUUUUCUAAAUUUAAUAUAUACCAGCCAUUUGUUUUUUGUAACCAAAGGUAGGAUCAACUUUAUUGCUAAACAUCAAAGUUUAAUAAGUAAUGCCGUUGGAACAUCCAUUAUGAAAGCUUCAAUUGUUGUUUACAACAGUAGGAACUUGCUAAACAUUAAAUUUGCAGUGCUUUGGAAGCAUUUUUCUAACCAGAACUUUUUUCCAUUAAGAACAUAAAUACAACAAAUGCCGUGCAUUGCGUUGAAGCAGAAUCAACGUAAAUCAGAUGUGCCAUCAAAUGGAAAAUGCAAACUGCCAUAGAAACAACUUCUCUAUUCCUUUGCGGUCAAACACCAGCACAACAAAGGGAGUCUUGGAUUGUGGAAUAAAAAGCAAUAUCUGGCCAUUUUUUAGAUCAUGAUCAAUAACAAAACGGUUCCAGUUUUGAUCAAAACAUCUGCCGGUCAUACCAACAUGAUAAUAUUUAUGACUAUUUGUAAGAGUUAUAGUCGUCGUACUAUCUUCAUUUAGCCUUAGAUUCGCAAAUUCUGGUAGAUCCUAUAAAUGUAUGAAAAAAAAUUGUGAUAAGUAAAUACACAUAUGUACAAAAGAAAGAGAGUUAAUAAGGUUAGAGAAUGCAAAACUAUACCAGCUUGUACUUGUACUUUGAUAGAUAAAAUUGAUAGAAGCAAUUGAAUGUAGUCCAGUCAUGUUUUAGGAAUGGAUUCAUAGAUGAGACAAUACGAUGGAGAACUGAUUCUGAGAUUUCAUGAUCUGUUUAUAAAGUAACAAAAGAAACCAUAUCAGCCAUAAUAAAUACCGUCUAAGCAAAAAAUAUAUAUAUAAUGGUAGUAAUAAAUACCGGAUUCUAGGACCUCAUGAAUUGUCCUUAGUCCUUGUAAGGAAGUAAUGGUAGUAAAACAAUCCUUUCAUCACGGCUGUUGCUCUUGUCUUCUCAGCGAAUUUUCGUCUUUGGAGGCCAGAGAAGCUUGAAAUACACAAAGUGAAAUUCAAUAAGACAUUUCACACUAAAAAUGACAUUAGUUGUUUUGUAUAUAAGAAUGACAUUAAUUGUUUUGUAUAUAAGAAGUCAUUUUGUUUUAGACACAUUAACAAUUAUGAUAUACCCAACAUUUUUAUAGGUUAUUAUACCAACGUCAUAAAAAGAAAACCAAGACCUAAAUUGUGGAACUGAUUAUAAAUUAAUUACUGUGGAAAGUAUAUUUAAACUAUUAAUCUAAUCUAGGAUGAACACAAAAAAAUGAAUAAGUAAUGUGCAAAAAAAAGGUGGUCAAAGAAUUUAACUUAUUUCAGAAAUAAUGAACCAAAUAAAGAAUCAAUCUUAGGAAAGCUGUAUGGUCUCGUCUUACAUUAAUUUCAACUUUGUUCUCUAUAUGAUUUCUUGAUUCUUUACCCCAAAGUCUUUUUCUCCCAUCAAGAAUGCUUCAGAAAUUAUAUGAUCAAUACAUACCUAGCUAUUACAGAAUGGCAACAAACUGAAAUGGCAACAACCUAGCUAUUACAGAAUUUCUGUGCUUGAGUCCUCUAACAACUAUAACUACAUAAUACACAUUAACUAAAAAACAUCCAAUGAAACUGCACUCAUAAUCAAACGACAAUGCCUAACAUAGGACAGCAGAUUCCUUCCUCUUUACUGCUUGGCCACAUGAGCAGUCAGUUCAGAAUUCUGCAGCAAAAAAUUAGAAGCAUUCAAAAUCAUUCAAAAUAACCAAUGAAUUCCUAGUCUGCACACACUAUUUAUUCAGUCAAAAGCAUUCAAAAUCAUUCAAGAAGAAUAAGUGUAAUCAUUCAAAACAGCACUCACACAAGUAACUUAUGAAGAUGCCUUUAUACACAACACACCGAAGCAAAAGUAACAUCUCGCAGAAAGAACCAAACACAGAAGAACAUCAUUUACAGGAUAUAAAACAGCAUUUGUCAAAGUCUGAAACAAAAAGAAGUCUCUAAUACAAUUCAUCUUGCUUUAGCAUUCCAAUUGAUCACUUUCAGAAAAAUGAGCUAAAGUAAUAAAUUUCCACGAACAAUAGAAUAAGUUAGUAUAACAAAGAAAUCAUAAUCUCAAAUUCAGAGGCAAAAAACAAAAAAAAAAAAAAAGAACCCUUGUUUUGACAAAUAUAACAAGUAUGAUAAAAAACUGACAAAUGUUGUCAUGGAGCGGAAGACAUUUCAAAUUCAAUUAAGGAAAAAUAACUGGUACAGCCUUUUUUUAUUGUUUCCAUCCCACACAUCAACAUAACCAUCACAACCUCAAGUAGCAAAUGUACCAUAGCUACAAAUCAAAAUCAGUUUUGAGACAGAUUUUGGCAAAAAGCUCAAGGUAUUCAAUCAAUAGAUAAUUGUAAUAGAUCCAACUCAAUCACUCAAUAUAUCUAGAGUUGAUAAAUCAAGCACAUAGGCUUAUAAAUCAUUCAUGGAUACAUUGACAUUAUAAAUCAUUCUCUUUUGUUUGUUCCAUUCCAACUCAAUCAUUGACAUAGCUACCUUAAGAAUACAUGGAUCGGCUCCACUUAUCAAGUUCAAAAAAACAGAUGUUUCCUAAAGACGCAUAGUUAUGAUGAGAAGCUUGAAGGUCGUGAUUGCCUGGGGAAUAUCUAGAGUUGAAAAUUGGAAAUCAGGAAAGAUAAAUUCAGGUUCGAUCGCUUAUUCGUAAGCUGUUAAAGUUUUGAACUGUCCCCAUAAUUGAUUGUUUUUGCCUUGUUUCUGCAAUUAUCUCUCAUAUUUGUUUACAGUAAGCACCAUCACAUCAAGUAAAGAACACUUCUCUUGCACCCUAUAUCAAUCUAACAUGAUUCCAUCUGGUACUGAGACUACCAAAACCCAAGCUCGUAGCCCAAAGAACCUACAACACUUUGUUCACCAUAGCUGAAGACAUACUUGGAACAACUAAGGUACCAUAUACUUUCUUUUUUUUUUCAGUGCAUAGGCAGACACAAACAUAUAUAGUUAUAAUAAAUCACACACACCUCAAACAAAAAAGAAAUGAAUUCUUUCAUAUCUUGAUAAACACUUCAAAUGUAUACUAAUCCUAUGAACAACCAAGUAAAAUGACAUUGAUAUGGUAUGAAGAGACAUACACA